UACGAAGGGGGCUAGCGUUGCUCGGAAUCACUGGGCGUAAAGGGCGCGUAGGCGGACUUUUAAGUCAGGGGUGAAAUCCUGAGGCUCAACCUCAGAACUGCCUUUGAUACUGAGGGUCUCGAGACCGGUAGAGGUAAGUGGAACUGCGAGUGUAGAGGUGAAAUUCGUAGAUAUUCGCAAGAACACCAGUGGCGAAGGCGGCUUACUGGACCGGUUCUGACGCGUGAGGCGCGAAAGCGUGGGGAGCAAACAGG
Molecule: ribosomal RNA, 254 nt
Filed under: uncultured bacterium
Lineage: Bacteria
Description: partial 16S ribosomal RNA
Rfam family: Bacterial small subunit ribosomal RNA
Source: RNAcentral